This 464-nucleotide ribosomal RNA is filed under the name uncultured beta proteobacterium. Its description in RNAcentral is "bacterial SSU rRNA". It matches the Rfam family "Bacterial small subunit ribosomal RNA", at positions 372 to 829 of the family's 1533-position model. The record is from RNAcentral. Lineage: Bacteria; Pseudomonadati; Pseudomonadota; Betaproteobacteria.
UGGGGGAACCCUGAUCCAGCGAUGCCGCGUGAGUGAAGAAGGCCUUCGGGUUGUAAAGCUCUUUCGCGGGGGAAGAAAUCCCGGCGGACAACACCCGCCGGGGAUGACGGUACCCCGACAAGAAGCACCGGCUAACUACGUGCCAGCAGCCGCGGUAAUACGUAGGGUGCGAGCGUUAAUCGGAAUUACUGGGCGUAAAGGGUGCGUAGGCGGCCGUUCAAGUCGGGUGUGAAAGCCCCGGGCUCAACCCGGGAAUUGCGCCCGAAACUGUGCGGCUGGAGUUCGGCAGAGGAAGGUGGAAUUCCGUGUGUAGCGGUGAAAUGCGUAGAGAUACGGAAGAACACUAAUUGCGAAGGCAUCCUUCUGGGCCGAUACUGACGCUGAGUCACGAAAGCGUGGGUAGCAAACAGGAUUAGAUACCCUGGUAGUCCACGCCCUAAACGAUGUCCGCCGGCUGUCGGGAG